This 70-nucleotide transfer RNA is filed under the name Camponotus concavus. RNAcentral's name for it is "tRNA-His". Lineage: Eukaryota; Metazoa; Arthropoda; Insecta; Hymenoptera; Formicidae. The record is from RNAcentral.
AUUUAGGUAGUUUAAGGAAAAUAUUAAUUUGUGGAGUUAAUGAUAUAGUAAUAAAAAAUUGUCCUAAAUU